AAUAAACGUAGUCAUGAGUUUCCGCGUCCAAUUUUGGUCGUCCGUCUUAUUUAAAAAAAUUUUAUAAUUAGCAUUUUUGUUGCUAUGAGAUGAUAAAACAUUAAUAGUACUUUACUCGUGACUUAUGUUUUUAAUUUUUUUUAAAAAAAAUUUAAAUAAGACGAACGGUCAAAGUUCGGCGCGAAAAACCAUGGCUGCACUUAUU
Oryza glumipatula is the source of this 205-nucleotide non-coding RNA. The record is from Rfam. NCBI's taxonomy places the organism in Eukaryota, Viridiplantae, Streptophyta, Magnoliopsida, Poales, Poaceae.